RNAcentral lists this transfer RNA (77 nucleotides) under Thiotrichales bacterium. RNAcentral describes it as "tRNA-Met". It matches the Rfam family "tRNA". From Rfam's summary of the family: Transfer RNA (tRNA) molecules are approximately 80 nucleotides in length. Lineage: Bacteria; Pseudomonadati; Pseudomonadota; Gammaproteobacteria; Thiotrichales. The record is from RNAcentral.
GGGCCUGUAGCUCAGUUGGUUAGAGCAGUGGACUCAUAAUCCAUUGGUCGUAGGUUCGAGUCCUACCCGGCCCACCA